AGACACAUACACAAGAGUGCAAGACCACACCAAAGGACUCCCCACACCCUUCACCAAACAUCACUGAUGAUAAGGCUGUUUGUUUGGGCUACAUGUCAAGGAGACUGAUGCCAUCUCUCCAGAGAUGCCUUCCUGACCACUCCCUUCCACUGGAUAUGUCCCGCUGCUGUUCCUUCAGCCAUACUGACAAAUUCUCUGGUUUCUCCAUGAGGCACAUGGACAAGUCUUCUUCAUAGAACCUGUUUCAGACAAACAGCAACAUUUCAGGGCACUAGUCUGCUGACAGCCAAACCUGUUCCCCAGGUUCUUCCUCUUCCAAAACACCAAAGGACAGAACCAUCACUGACCUGCACGUCCCGCGCUGACAUCCCUGCUGGGAGCCGAAUGCCGGCUUGCCUCAUUCUGACCGACUGACGCCGCAGCUCCUCGCUCGGACGGGAAGGACUCUUCCCAGCUCCGAUUCCUCUCCCGGGGCUCGGUGACCUCCUUCGAUUCUCACCGCAGGGAUUGCCAAGGACAUCCGGAAGGAUGGAAACAGCAUUAAUAGGCUGUACACAGGAGUAUUUUUCCGAGUCACAGAGCGAGACGGCACAGUGGAGGUGAACUUCAUCAUAAUCUCCGAUGAACUUGAAGACGGUGACGUGGAAGCGACAAGUCAAUGACACUCCAUUCUCCUCAAUGCCGAUGGUGUUGUCCUUCAUGUUUUGGCACCUGCACAAACAGCUCGUGCUCACCCAGGCCCUCACAGAUGCAGCCUCGUCUCGAGAGCCUUUGCCCUCCCCUGACCCUCUAAAUCCCCUCUUCUGCUUCCCAGAGCAAUGCCAGUAA
Molecule: long non-coding RNA, 828 nt
Organism: Rhea pennata
Lineage: Eukaryota; Metazoa; Chordata; Aves; Rheiformes; Rheidae
Exons: 3
Source: RefSeq, a predicted model, not a curated record